GAGAGGUGUUGGUGGCCUCCCCAUGCCUCUUCCCCCGCGAGAAAGAAGGCAGCAAGCAGCCUUCAGCGAGAUCUCCAGUGGCAGUGGGAGAGACAAGAAGGAGCAGAAUGGUGGGAGAUCCAAAUCACGAAGCUAAGUGGGUAGGACAGGGACACUUGCACGGAGAACAGGAGAACAUCACUUUUAUAAACAUGUGGGGGUGGAUAGAAAAACUCAAAUAAUUUAGCAGUUACCAGGCAAGACGAAGAGAACUUUCAAAGUUUUUUGCCAAAAGAGAAAAAAAAAGGCAUUCGAAGAUUUGGGAUGGUUGAGGGAGCUGUUAAUUACAGGAAUCCUUGUUCAAUCGCAUGUCUUGAAUGGAUGGAUACGAGGAUCGAAAGGGGUUAAGGAUUAACAUGCCAAGGAGAAUUGGAUUCCAUGGUCUGAGAGGGACCUAACUCUCCAGGUACUUCGAUUUAAUUAUCAAAUUAGUAUAGAUUGUUUGCAUUUGCAUAGCUACAUUGAGUUGCUUUCAGUGACUAGUAAAACUGCAUUUGCACUGCUCAUGGUUCAUUUAUUAUUUUCUGAUGCAGAGAUUAUACAUGCAUGUCAUUGUCAUUUUGUUCUUCUGGAACAAAGUCAUUUUUACUUGAUGAUUAAUUAACCUUUUAUUUCAUGAAAAUGAAAUUUUAGUCUGCCAUAUCUUUCUGUUGCAGGUUUGAGCAUUAACGAAUCUUUUCAUUCUGUAAAGAAAAAAUAUAUUGAACUUGAUUACAUGCAACUAAAAGAUUAAUACUCAUCUACAUCCUCAUAUAUAAUGCUGUUGUAAAGAAUCUACCAAAACCAUGUGGCAACAGCAGGGCUGCCUUCAUCAUUCAUUGUACUCUGCAUUCAAUCAACUAGUGUUACUAUCUGAGCCAUAACAACAGACAAGAUGUCAUAAAAAACAUUGCAUCAUUGUGAUCUGUACAGUAUCUGUCAUUUUAGCAGACUAUAAAUGAAGAACAUCAUCUAACAAGAGCACAUGAACUCAUGAAACAUUUAUCUUCUUUUCUUUUUCUCCAAUGAUAUCAUUUUGUAGCUACUUUUUUAAUCUUUUGAUAGUUAUAAAAUAUUAGUCUAUUUCAUUCCCACUUGGCAUUUUAACUGCCUAUCUAUUUUGAAUUUAUAAUAGAUAUAAUACAAGUAGUUUGACCAAAAUAGACAGAUGAUUGAAAUGAAGACUAUAUAGAUGGCACGAUUCCCUAAAUUGAGCUCAUACAUUAUGCAUCUCUAUAGAUAAAAUAUUAGUGUGAUCAAAUUGGAUCUAAUUAGUUCAAUUGUAAGAGAUGGUGGCAUGUCAUAUUUGACUCCUAAAACAGAACACUUAGCAUAUAUCAAUGGCAUGGGAUCGUGGAGUACGUUUAGAUAGUCAUAGUCAAUCCUUAAGUGCACAAAGUCAAGACCAACAGUCCACUAUUCCUUGAGCUAAAGAAAGAGUAUAUCAAGUAAUUGAUGAUGAUGAUGAUGAUGAUGUGGUCCAAAAAUCCACGGCGUGCCGUAGGGUGCAGUGGUUGGAAUCUCAGCCUAGGAAAAUGAAUUCCACCACCUACCGCCAUCGUGCUGAUAGGCCACAUUUCCUGAUUGCCUCUUGCCCUAAUUCAUUAUUUGUUAUUGCUAUCAUGGAUUCCACAAGAGAAAUCAUCUCAUCUUCCAUCGUUCCACGAUAAAAUAGAGUGCUGUUAGAGUUCUUAUGACAUCGGAUCAGAUUAUAGUCACCUAUGUCAAUUUCAAGAUCGGAUGAAAAAGAUAGAACGUUGAGUCCACAAUCGAUCCCAAAUAGUUAAGAUUUUAUGAUUUUUUUAUUAUUAUAUUAGAUCAUAUUACCUUCUUUGAUAAAUAGUAAAUCAAAAUAUUAUGGAUUCAUCUUUGAUCCUUUUUUUUCUUAAGAUAUUUAACUACAUAAAAAAUAAAAAAAAUGAAGGAAAUAAAAAACCAUGUGAUUCUUAUUCCUCUACCCAUAAUCAUGAUGAGAUGAGGAGAA
Long non-coding RNA from Musa acuminata AAA Group (dessert banana), 2002 nucleotides. RefSeq lists it as uncharacterized. The record is from RefSeq and is a predicted model, not a curated record. The transcript has 3 exons. Lineage: Eukaryota; Viridiplantae; Streptophyta; Magnoliopsida; Zingiberales; Musaceae.